RNAcentral lists this ribosomal RNA (697 nucleotides) under uncultured bacterium. RNAcentral describes it as "bacterial SSU rRNA". It matches the Rfam family "Bacterial small subunit ribosomal RNA", at positions 8 to 702 of the family's 1533-position model. The record is from RNAcentral.
AGAGUUUGAUCCUGGCUCAGGAUGAACGCUAGCGGGAGGCUUAAUACAUGCAAGUCGAACGGUAACAGGUUCUUCGGAACGCUGACGAGUGGCGCACGGGUGAGUAACGCGUACGCAAUCUGCCCUUGAGAGGGGGAUAGCCCUGGGAAACUGGGAGUAAUCCGCCAUAGUUUCUGUGAUCGGCAUCGGUUAUAGAAUAAAACUUCGGUGUUCAAGGAUGAGCGUGCGUCUGAUUAGCUAGUUGGUAAGGUAACGGCUUACCAAGGCGAUGAUCAGUAGGGGGCGUGAGAGCGUGGACCCCCACACGGGUACUGAGACACGGACCCGACUCCUACGGGAGGCAGCAGUAAGGAAUAUUGGACAAUGGGUGAGAGCCUGAUCCAGCCAUCCCGCGUGCAGGAUGACUGCCCUAUGGGUUGUAAACUGCUUUUCUUAGAGAAGAAACCACUUCCUGCGGGAGGUGCUGACGGUAUCUGAGGAAUAAGCACCGGCUAACUCCGUGCCAGCAGCCGCGGUAAUACGGAGGGUGCAAGCGUUAUCCGGAAUCACUGGGUUUAAAGGGUGCGUAGGUGGCCUGAUAAGUCAGAGGUGAAAGGUGCCAGCUUAACUGGCGAAUUGCCUUUGAUACUGUUGGGCUUGAAUUAAGUUGAGGUCAGCGGAAUGUGACAUGUAGCGGUGAAAUGCAUAGAUAUGUCAU